Molecule: ribosomal RNA, 433 nt
Filed under: uncultured bacterium
Lineage: Bacteria
Description: partial 16S ribosomal RNA
Rfam family: Bacterial small subunit ribosomal RNA
Source: RNAcentral
AACGAACGCUGGCGGCAUGCCUAACACAUGCAAGUCGAACGAGACCUUCGGGUAUAGUGGCGCACGGGUGCGUAACGCGUGGGAACCUGCCCUUAGGUUCGGAAUAACUCCCCGAAAGGGGUGCUAAUACCGGAUAAUGUCUUCGGACCAAAGAUCUAUCGCCUUUGGAUGGGCCCGCGUUGGAUUAGCUAGUGGGUAGGGUAAAAGCCUACCAAGGCGACGAUCCAUAGCUGGUCUGAGAGGAUGAUCAGCCACACUGGGACUGAGACACGGCCCAGACUCCUACGGGAGGCAGCAGUGGGGAAUAUUGGACAAUGGGCGGAAGCCUGAUCCAGCAAUGCCGCGUGAGUGAUGAAGGCCUUAGGGUUGUAAAGCUCUUUUACCCGGGAUGAUAAUGACAGUACCGGGAGAAUAAGCUCCGGCUAACUCCGUG